This is a long non-coding RNA of Mustela erminea (ermine), 3431 nucleotides long. RefSeq lists it as uncharacterized. NCBI's taxonomy places the organism in Eukaryota, Metazoa, Chordata, Mammalia, Carnivora, Mustelidae. The record is from RefSeq and is a predicted model, not a curated record. The transcript has 3 exons.
UCAUAGUGCUGGGGGUCAGAUGUCCAAAUAAGCCAAUAUGAAAGUGUUAGGAGGGCACGUUCCUCUCUGGAGCUCUUGGGGAGAAUCCAUGUCCUUGCGUUUUCCAGCUUCCUGGAGGACAACUGCAUUCCUUGGCUUGUGGUAACUUCCUCCAUUUGCCAAAAACAGCAGCGGCCACUUGAGUCUCACGUUGCACCUGCUGAUCUACUUCCUUCUUCCACAUGUCAAGGACCCUAUGAUGACUUUGGGCCCACCCAGAUGGUCCAGGAAAAUCUCCUCAUUUGAAGGUGAUUUUUAAUAGCCUUUCUUGCUGCAUUCAAAAUGUGGUGAGUAGCAACCUAGGAGUAUUAAGACGUGAGUAUCCUUUGACCCACUUCUGCAGUUUUCCAAUAGGCUCGAAAGAAAACCCUUUAGAAGCAACAAACAAAUCUGGGCAAAGGUAUUCACAGCAGCCACUACGGAAUGGUGAGCAACAAGAAAUGGUCGCUUGCCUGAUGCUGAGAGUGGUUGGAGGAAGUGAACAGAAUAUGACAUAGUACGAUCUUUCGUAGCAUUUACGGGUGACAAGUAGGACGUGGCCAUGCAUUUACGACUUCGGAGAAAUACGCGAAGCAAAUCAAGCAAAAUACAAUUGAUCCCAGUGAUUAUGGGCAUGGGCUCUGAAAAUGUUUGCACGUACCUUAAGCGAGAUGAGAGAGAAUGGGGGGGAUUCUGAACCCUCUUUGUGUCAAUGAUAUUUUUAGGAAUCUGAGAAUGCCUUGGACCAUCUCCCCAGAAAAAUCCCCAGACAUACAACAUUUUGCAGUAACUCUAGGAGAUUCAUCAGUCCCUUGAUGUCCAUUCAAGGGCCACUCGUCCCCACAAGGGCCCAUCCACUCCGGAUUUAAAACACAAUAUUCAUUUAGUUCAGUCUUGGUCAUUAAGUUGCUAACUCCCAUUAAGAAGCCUAAAAAACCCCACCUAAAACAUGUUCAGAGAUUUGGGACAUAUUACGUAUUUGCUGUUUGUUUGCUCCUUGUAGAAUGUGAGUUCCCUGAUAGCAAAGCUACUAGAUGGUCUUGUCUGUUCUGUGUAUCUCCAGGACCUAGAAUACUGUUGCUUCCAGUAGCAGCUGCUCAAUAUUUCCUGAAGGAAGGAAUUCCUUAACAGCAUGUCCAAAUGCAAAGCGUUAUUAUUAGAAAGACAGCUUUGGGCUGGAAUCAUCCAUGUUAUUGCACACUGUAAGCCAUUUAUCCACCUGGCUGUAUGGGGCACAAUACUCCAUGUGUGACUACACCACAGUAGAACCAUCCAUUCUACUAGGGCUAUUUGGGUUCAGUUUCUUUGUUUUGAUUUUUUUUGCCAUCAUGAAUAGUACCACCUGGAACAUUCUAGCACAUGUCUUUUGGUGAACAGAUGGGUGCAUUUCCAUGGGAAUGGAAUUGCUGGAUGAUGGCGUCUGUGCAUGUGUAGUUCUAGAAGACGUUGUGAAAUGGUUUUCUGAAGUGGUUGUACCAACCUGUGUGGCCAUUCAGGUGAUUCUGAACGUCUCUCUGUCUCGAGGCCGACUGUGCCAUUCCAGGGUCCCGUAUUCCUUGUAAAGCCACGUGUGGACAUAAUUACCCAUCUCUGGACAUAAUUACCCAUCUCUCCCCUCUGGGCAGUUUCUUUCUUAGUGAACAAUUUACUUCUGUCUGGGUGAUUUACUUCCUUAUGAAAGCUCCCCUCUUUCCAUCAGUUGUCUCAAAACAUUAGAUGCUAAUGUUGGUUGAAUACAAGAGUGACUCAUUCAAAUCUUCUGGGACAAAUCCCAAACCUUCGCUGUCCUGUUUUUUAUUUUUGAGCCAUACAUUAAGAAGAAAACUCUGAGCCAUGGAAACCCACAGAAUUAAAGACACGUCACCACCUGAAAAGGACCCCAUUGUUCUAAUGCUUGGCUUAUGCCACAGUUGCUGUAAGCAAGGAGAAGAUUUGCUUCUAGGGUAGCAGGACCACGUUGGGAUGCCACGUGGAAUUCCAGGAACCUGGUAAGUGGGAGUCGUUUUCAAGGACGCAGUCCUGAGAGAGCAAUGCGGUGCUGAGGUCAUCUGGACACUCUGUGUGACUGAGCCUGUCUUUGUUCCCUCCGCUGGCCUGGAGGACAUCAUAGCACAUGGAGACGACCUGACUAAAAUCACCCUACAAGACUUCAACGAGAGCCACAGAUUCUGCCCUCCUGAACACCGAAUCAUCUCUAAGCAGAAAAGCCGUCCUCUGAAACAGGACAGCCUUGAACAUUCUCUCUGCCUUGCGAAGACGCCCUGGUGCCAUUAUCCAAACAGAGUGUCGUGCGUGUACAUCCAAUGAGACUGCACACGCACCAUUUUUAUUAAAUCACACGGGGACACUUAUAAAGCCCCACAGCGAUCUGACCCCCAGCCUAGGGGACGUAAUACAUCAGUGGCUCAGAUCAUGGGGCUCCCUCUCGGUGGAAAAAAUUGUUACUUAUUUUGGAAAUCAUUAUCAUCAUCAUUAUCUAUUUUCCAUGGGCUUAUGUGGGUUGCUAGGGGAUCUGCCUCUGGUGCAGCCAGAGAGCCUCCCAACCAGCCACCUCCGUGCGUGCAAAAUCUUGCUGACCGACUGCUCCAGACACUCUGCUGGGGAGGGCGGCGUGGGGAGAUGGUCAGAGCCGGUCAUGGUCACGAGGAGUGGAGUGUUGGUGGGGAUCACGGAGGGGAUGUGACCUGCACUUGACCCAGGAGGGGGGCUCCCUCGGGAAGGUCAGGAGAUUGCGAGCUCCUUACCCCUCCCCUUGAAAUGUGUGUUCCUCCCACCAUUCCCUCGGUGGGAGCCAUUUUCAAGGACAUAGCCUUGAGAGAGUAAGAUGUUCUUGAGACCAAGGUGACUGAACCUGUUAAGACCUCCCUGUAAACUUUAAAGGUUCUGGCUGCUGUUCGGAGACCCCCUUGUCCUGUGACUGCCAAGACCAGACUGGUGAGUCUCCUGCUUGUGAACAUUGCCUCUGGCUUGGGAGGGGCUGCCUCUUUCUUGUGCCUCUCCCUGUGCUUGGAGUGCGCAGACACGGGGGCAGUUUAUGAACCGACAUCCGGUUUCCGGCAAAGCCAAAUUUGGACACUCCCUGCUGCUGGCUGGGUAAUGUCCAAAUGCCGCAUCUGGUCUACAGUGCAGGUAUACCCUGGUCCCCACUCCCGCCUCCUUCCUAGCUCCAGUGCCCUGUGCUUCUCCGCAGACACACAGAGGUUUUGUGGCUCAGGGCCUUUUCACAGGCUCCUGUGUCCUUCUGGUUUCAUUUAUGGGCCAUUUCCCCCAGAAAAGCCUUCUCUCACUCCUCAAUUUAAAUUCAGCACCCCAGGGACGCCUGGCUGUCUCAGUCAGUGGAGCCCGAGACUUCUCCAUCUCAGGGCUGUGGUUUGGGUUCCAUGUUGAGUAUAGAAAUUACUUAAAAAUAAAAA